UGUGCAAUUAAUUAAUCGUGAAUCCUUGAUUCAAAGUGUGGUUAAGUUUGUUACAUAUCGAAAUUAUCCAUUUAAAGUCAAUUUAUUACUUGAAUGUUGGCAAAAGAAUGAAAUAAACAACUUUCGAAAAAGUUUAUCAUCAGUAAAUUUACUCUCGGGAGUUAUUUCAUAUAAAAAUUCAAUAUGGAGACAAGAAAGUAAAGAAAUGGAACUCUAUGUUAUGGAUUAUGAUUGUUUCAAUAAUACAAACAUAUUGCAACAGAAUGAAGACCUACUGCAAUUCCCACAUCGUUGGUUUAUUCUCAUCAACAAUAUAUCCACAUUCCCUCUUCUAGACAUUAAACUCAAUACUAGACUCUACCUUCUUCAAAAACAACCCCCACACAUUUUAAUAUCUUCUUAUUUAAUUUCUA
Dalotia coriaria is the source of this 413-nucleotide long non-coding RNA. RefSeq lists it as uncharacterized. The record is from RefSeq and is a predicted model, not a curated record. Lineage: Eukaryota; Metazoa; Arthropoda; Insecta; Coleoptera; Staphylinidae. The transcript has 3 exons.